RNAcentral lists this ribosomal RNA (377 nucleotides) under uncultured eukaryote. RNAcentral describes it as "partial 18S ribosomal RNA". It matches the Rfam family "Eukaryotic small subunit ribosomal RNA", at positions 592 to 975 of the family's 1831-position model. The record is from RNAcentral.
CAAUAGCGUAUAUUUAAGUUGUUGCAGUUAAAAGGCUCGUAGUUGGAUUUCGGGUGGGACGCAGCGGUCUCGCAUUGCGUUUGUACUGCUGCAGCCCUCCUUCUUGCCGGGGGCGGCCUCUCGGACUUCACUGUCUGGGGGUCAGAAUCGGCGAUGUUACUUUGAGUAAAUUAGAGUGUUCAAAGCAAGCUUACGCUCUGAAUAUAAUAGCAUGGGAUAACACGACAGGACUCUGGCCUAUCGUGUUGGUCUAUAGGACCAGAGUAAUGAUUAAGAGGGACAGUCGGGGGCAUUCGUAUUCCGUUGUCAGAGGUGAAAUUCUUGGAUUUACGGAAGACGAACAUCUGCGAAAGCAUUUGCCAAGGAUGUUUUCAUUG